AAAAAAAUAAGAGUAACCGUCAGGGCGCACGAUCGGAGACCGGAGGCAACGUGGGAGAUAUGGCUCCAUCACUAUUCACCCGUCUCUCAGUUUACGGUUCAUGUAAAAGGAGAAAACUCAGACGGAAGGAGGAGCAGAGCAAACUCAAACCUAGAGGGAGGAAAAGAUUAGUAUCAAAAUCGGUGAUUGUGGAUUCACCUUUCUGAACAAAUCUCUCGCCACCGAUUCUAUUUGGGUUUAAUAAAUCAGGCUUAAUGGCUUCAAAGAAUUUGGAGGUACUUUACAUACUCGGGUAGUUUCUAUACGUCUUGAAGGAAUCGGAAAAUUUUGGUUACAGGUAAAUUAGAUGGGCGAUUUCUGAACAUUGUGACAAAAUGAUGCGUCUAAUGUUAGUUCCAGGUAUUGUUUCUGUUUCAUAUGUGUAUGCAGUUUGGGGGGAAGCAAAUGAACCAAACAGAACUAUGUUUCUCUAUUGAUUAGGUAUGAAUGGAAGAUGUUUUUCAUUGAUGACCGUUGUUAGGCCCUUUCAUGCAUGAUAUCUACCAUAUUCUAAUAGUAGAGAUUUCAUAUUCUUUUGCCUUUUCAACGCACAACUUAUUUUAACUUUUUGGGUGUUAGAGGUGUUGUAUGUUCUGUAAACCAUUAUAUGUACGAUUGAUCUGCAAGUUGUCAGAUCUGUGUUAUCGGUUUCUUAUCUAUUGCCUAUGCUUUAGUUAUGCAUGUUUCCUUUAAAUUUACUUCUGUUCCUGUACUAUGCUUGGUAAUCCACUCAAUUGAAUCCUCAUAAGGCAUCUGUAUCGCUCAUGUUAGUUUUUGGUGGAUCUAACUGACUCUUUGGAGGUGUUUAAGUAAGGUUUUGAUUUCAAUUGCAGUUUAUUACUCAGUCAAUCUGGGCAGAUGUCUUCUUUGCGGUAAUAUCAUAAUAGUGAGAUUUGAAAUCACUGCGUGGUCCCUCUAUCUCAUUCUCAUAUGUGUUCAUUGAAAUUCAUUUUAGUUUUUUAUUAUUAUUAUUUAAAAUUUUUUUUUUAUGAGAUUUGAAUAUACGUGCACAUUCAUGCACCAAUACCAUUACCAGCCGUCGUACAUAUUUAUAUGGGAAUGAGAUAUAGAUAUUCCUCUCAUUCCCCCUCUCUGUUCCUUUACUUUUAUAUAUCAUCAACAUAAUUGCAUUAGAUAUGUCUGUUAAGAAGGCUUUGAACUCUUUUAGGCCCUAAUAUAUCUCAAUAUUUCUCCUGCUUUCUUUUAGUUCUAUCCCUGAUCCUCCUUUCUUUUUUUUUUUUGUUCAAUUUAGGUGCAGAGCCUGUGAGAUUGUAGUACGUUUAAGUUCUUUGGCUUUUGUUCCUGACUAUGAGAAGUAAAGCAAGAUAUAUAUUUCUUGCAGAAGUAUAAAGACAACAGUGUGCACUAGGGAUAUUGAGCGAGGACUAGGAUUAUUGUGGAAAGCAGUUGACUGAAAGGCAAGAGAGAAAAGAAGAUAAGUGAAGUAGGAGGAGACUGUUGGAGUUUAGAGAUAGAGUUUUGAUGGGAAUGUGAUUCAGAUUCCUGUGCUCUUACGGAAAUUAGUCCAAUCAUAGACCUAUAAUAACUCAGCCAGAGUUACGAUUGUCUUUCUGUGUUUGUAAACUUAGAUCAACACAAUUUUGAAUCUUUAUUGUUUCCUCCCAUGGAGGGAAAAAAAAUAGUGAUAUAUAUGUCUCUG
Molecule: long non-coding RNA, 1699 nt
Organism: Rosa rugosa (rugosa rose)
Lineage: Eukaryota; Viridiplantae; Streptophyta; Magnoliopsida; Rosales; Rosaceae
Exons: 5
Source: RefSeq, a predicted model, not a curated record